Molecule: ribosomal RNA, 369 nt
Filed under: uncultured bacterium
Lineage: Bacteria
Description: bacterial SSU rRNA
Rfam family: Bacterial small subunit ribosomal RNA
Source: RNAcentral
GACGAACGCUGGCGGCGUGCUUAACACAUGCAAGUUGAGCGGUAAGGCCCUUUCGGGGGUACACGAGCGGCGAACGGGUGAGUAACACGUGGGUGACCUGCCCUCAGCUCUGGGAUAAGCCUGGGAAACCGGGUCUAAUACCGGAUAUGACUCCAUGACGCAUGUUGUGGGGUGGAAAGCCUUGUGCGGCUGAGGAUGGGCCCGCGGCCUAUCAGCUUGUUGGUGGGGUGAUGGCCUACCAAGGCGACGACGGGUAGCCGGCCUGAGAGGGCGACCGGCCACACUGGGACUGAGACACGGCCCAGACUCCUACGGGAGGCAGCAGUGGGGAAUCUUGCGCAAUGGGCGAAAGCCUGACGCAGCGACGCC